RNAcentral lists this non-coding RNA (32 nucleotides) under Mus musculus (house mouse). The record is from RNAcentral. Lineage: Eukaryota; Metazoa; Chordata; Mammalia; Rodentia; Muridae.
UUNCAGGAUUGUCCUACGGCAGCUUUGGCGAU